CAUUUCAUAACCGUUUUAUAAGACUCCUAUGAAAUUCAUAAUCAUCCGUAUUAAUUACAUACCUAUGCCUUAUGAAUCCCAAUAUUAUUCCUUAUGAAUAAAAAUCAUAAGGCAAUCUUAUGGAGCAAUAUGUUCAUGUGUUCAUCCACCGGAAAAUAUUAUCGCCAUUGUUUUUGUUUUGCAUUCCGGUCGACCAAGUUAUUUUUCCAAAUUUUUAAUUUCUGCACGUUUUUGGGCAACCGUCCGUUAUCAGAUACAGAUUUGAUCCAGAUACCGACGGAUCUGUCAGUAUAAAAUGUAAUUUUACCGAAAAUACAUCUGCGACAUCAGUUUGGAUCUUCCGGCUCACAAUGCUUGCUGCUUGGUUUUUCCAUUUCAAUGGUAAUUUCUGGAAGUCACCUAAUUAUGAUAGAUGCUGGAGCUGACCCGAAAACUUAUGCUGGAAGUGGGAACUCCGGCAGACGGUAGCGAUUGAUUCGCCACAACAGACAUCCGACAGCUGCGAACAUCCCUUUUUCUGGUCAAACUGAUCGACAAAACACAGCCUAAAACAGCCAGUUCUGGGGCAUUAAUCGCUUCACAUUGCCACCAAAUUGGCUAACGUACGGUGAAAUACGGAAAUCAGAAAACAGCGGAAGCAGUCCUAGCAAAGAGAGGACUGUUCGUGAUGGCAAGUUCAACGUGUAUUCGAUAGACAAGGGACUGGCAUCGGUUGUGGAAAGCAGUUCAUAGUGGAUUUGUACAUCCCGAGGUGCUGCAGAGUGCAGGAGCCGGACGACAUUAUUAGCGGAGUAUCAAGCAGUUUGCGGAUUGGGCCCAUCAUUUUCUAUCAAUUGCAUCAAUUUUCCCUCAACCGGCAAUGGGUCAACCGAAGCCAAUAAGGAUGCCGAUAGUAUUGGCAACGGUACGAAUAAAACAGGCAAUUCGAAAUUGUUCCAAGCUCGAUCAGCUAUAAAGCCGGUGGAGGUGGAGGAGCGUUUUCGGACGGUGGAUUCACGCGACAAUAAAGUUCACAACCGAUCGGAUCACGAAUAUCUGGAUGGCAAGCUGGAUGGUCAAAACAACGAGGGAACGUGCGAAAAUGUGCAUCUGGAUAAGGAACGGCAUAUGGGAGAGGGCAAGCUCAAGUGACGUCGUACGCAGCCGGGAAAAGCUAGCAACAGAUGAGCCACGAAAAGGUGAUCACACAAUACUCGGAUCAGAAGGCUCCAUUGGCGUUCUCAAAGGAUUCCUUGAGGCAUUCCCAAAGGAUUAAUUUACGCAUUCCCGAAUGAUUCGCUUAAGAAUUCUCAAGGGAAUUUAUAAGCGAAUCCUUUAUAGAUUUUGAUUCCAAAGUAAAUCCUUUAGGGAUUCCAACUGUGAUUCUUUCGGUAAUGGGAAAAUAAUCCUUAAGGGAUUCGAAAAGGAAUCCUUCGAAUAUUUCCAGAGAAUUCUGAUUCCGAUGAAAAUCCUUGAGUGAUUCCGACAGGGAUACCGACGGGAAUUCUUUAGGGAUUUUAGGGAGUUCUUUCUUUAGGAAUUCUUUUAGGGAUUCUGAAGGGGAACCUUUCAGGAUUUCGACGGGAAUACUUUAGGCACCUUUAGGGAUUCAGACGGGAAUACUUUAGGGAAUCCGACAGAAACCUCCUAAGGCAUUCCGACGGGAAUCUUGAAUCGAUUUUGACGGGAUCCUUCAGGAAUCCUUCAGAUAUUCCAAUGGGAAUGCUUUAAUGAUUCUAACGGGAAUCCUUUAGGGAAUUCGAUGGGUAUACUUUAGGGAUUACGGCAGAAAUCUUUCAGGUAUUCCGACGGAAAUCUUUAAAGCAUUUUGACGAUAUUUUUUCGAUAAUCCGACGGGAAUUCUUCAGGGAUUCCAACAAGAAUUCUUUAGGGAUUCCGACGGGAAUGCAUUGGGAAUUCCUACGGAAAUCUUUUAGGAAUUACGGCGGGAAUUAUUAAGGAAUUCCGAUGAAAAUCCUUAGAGGAUUUUGACGGAAAUCUUUUCAAAAUUCUGACGGGAAUUCUUAAGGGACUCCGACGGGAAUACUUCAUUUCAGGAAUGGGAAAAUAAUCCUUAUAAGACCUUCAGAGAUUCCGAAAUUCAAAAUUAGGUAUCCCAACAGAUUUCAAAAUAAUUUUGCUCGAAAUCUCAAGAGGUGGAAUCUCAGAAGGAUUCUGUUCGGAUGUUUAGACAAA
Long non-coding RNA from Armigeres subalbatus, 2175 nucleotides. RefSeq lists it as uncharacterized. The record is from RefSeq and is a predicted model, not a curated record. The transcript has 4 exons. Lineage: Eukaryota; Metazoa; Arthropoda; Insecta; Diptera; Culicidae.